Gallus gallus (chicken) is the source of this 885-nucleotide long non-coding RNA. RefSeq lists it as uncharacterized. The transcript has 2 exons. The record is from RefSeq and is a predicted model, not a curated record. Lineage: Eukaryota; Metazoa; Chordata; Aves; Galliformes; Phasianidae.
AAUUAUCUCCUAUAACUUCUAUUAAUUAAAAUUAUUCUACAAUUUAAAAAUUAGAUUCUAAAUACCACCUUUCAGAGCUCUAAACUUAAUCCUGCUACAAGUGUUUCAUACUAGUGCUGCAGGUAUUUAAGAUAACAAUUACAUUAAAAGAGCACUGAGGUUGUGAAGCAUGUAUUCACCCGGCACUUAUAAUGCAUUGAACUCCUUUAAUGACUGACUUUCCGAUACACUGUUUUCUUCUAAUUGUGCGGUGUAGUCUAUGCCCUUUCUAUUGUACACAAUGCACCUCCUGCACUGAAUUAACUUAGAGGUUCUUCCAUAAAACACAUCUGUAUAGGAACGGAAUACAAAGCAUUUGUAUUUAUAAAAUUUCCAUGAGAUUAGAGAUAUUAUUCUCUCUUUGUUGCUGACUAUGAAAUGCACAGAGACACUAAGGUCAAAAGUACUUACUAAAUUUGGUUACUCAAUUUGAGACACAACAUGAUUUUUCAGUGUAUGCAGCAUAAUACAGGCUUCAUUAGAUUCAAAGUGCCUCUGUUAACUUCAGAGGCCGCUAUGAGCACUCUUUCAAAUGAAGCUGCAGUACUUCAAGUCCAAUAUCCAUAAAACAACUACAAAAUGGAUGACCAUCUAAGAAUAAAUGCCACAGUGGAGUGGGGAGAAGAGCAUCAGGAAGGUUGCUACUGCCACCACGACGAGAUGCUAGGUCUGCUUUGGACUGCAAAUGCAGAAAGGAAUAUUUAAGUAUUUGGAAGAUGUUUGCUAAACAGCUUUUCCCAUCCUCUCUGGGAAAGCAGACAGAUGGGAAUGUACUGGGUGGUAGAUUCAGUUCAUGGCCUAUUGGCUGAACUACAUUGAUCAGAGGCAAUAAAACACUCAUAUCUG